Molecule: non-coding RNA, 57 nt
Organism: Salmo salar (Atlantic salmon)
Lineage: Eukaryota; Metazoa; Chordata; Actinopteri; Salmoniformes; Salmonidae
Source: Rfam
UGGCUCAGUUGGUAGAGCAUGGUGUUUGCAACGCCAGGUUGUGGGUUCGAUUCCCAC